This 593-nucleotide ribosomal RNA is filed under the name uncultured bacterium. Its description in RNAcentral is "bacterial SSU rRNA". It matches the Rfam family "Bacterial small subunit ribosomal RNA", at positions 31 to 615 of the family's 1533-position model. The record is from RNAcentral.
GAACGCUGGCGGCAGGCUUAACACAUGCAAGUCGAGCGGUAACAGGGGGUGCUUGCACCCCGCUGACGAGCGGCGGACGGGUGAGUAAUGCUUAGGAAUCUGCCCAGUAGUGGGGGAUAGCCCGGGGAAACCCGGAUUAAUACCGCAUACGUCCUACGGGAGAAAGCAGGGGAUCUUCGGACCUUGCGCUAUUGGAUGAGCCUAAGUCGGAUUAGCUAGUUGGUGGGGUAAAGGCCUACCAAGGCGACGAUCCGUAGCUGGUUUGAGAGGAUGAUCAGCCACAUCGGGACUGAGACACGGCCCGAACUCCUACGGGAGGCAGCAGUGGGGAAUAUUGGACAAUGGGGGCAACCCUGAUCCAGCCAUGCCGCGUGUGUGAAGAAGGCUUUCGGGUUGUAAAGCACUUUCAGUGAGGAGGAAAACCUUACGGUUAAUAACCGUGAGGCUUGACGUUACUCACAGAAGAAGCACCGGCUAACUCCGUGCCAGCAGCCGCGGUAAUACGGAGGGUGCAAGCGUUAAUCGGAAUUACUGGGCGUAAAGCGCGCGUAGGUGGUUCGAUAAGCGGGAUGUGAAAGCCCCGGGCUUAACCU